AACGCUGGCGGCGUGCUAACACAUGCAGUCGAGCGGGGACUUAGAGAUGAAGUUUCGGAUGGAUUUCUAAGUUCUAGCGGCGGACGGGUGAGUAACGCGUGAGCAACCUGUCCCUUACAGGGGAUAACACCUCGAAAGGGGUCCUAAUACCGCAUGAGACCACAGCAUCACAUGGUGCAGGGUCAAAGGAGCAAUCCGGUAAAGGGGUGGGCUCGCGUCCGAUUAGCCAGUUGGCGGGGUAACGGCCCACCAAAGCGACGAUCGGUAGCCGACCUGAGAGGGUGAUCGGCCACAUUGGAACUGAGAGACGGUCCAAACUCCUACGGGAGGCAGCAAGUGGGGAAUAUUGGGCAAUGGGCGAAAGCCUGACCCAGCAACGCCGCGUGAGGGAAGAAGGUCUUCGGGUCGUAAACCUCUGUCCUCAAUGAAGAGCAAAGAGACGGUAAUUGACGGAGGAAGCCCCGGCCAACUACGUGCCAGCAGCCGCGGUAAUACGUAGGGGGCAAGCGUUGUCCGGAAUGAUUGGGCGUAAAAGGGCGCGUAGGCGGCCCGCUAAGUCUGGAGUGAAAGUCCUGCCUUCAAGGUGGGAAUUGCUUUGGAUACUGGCGAGCUUGAGUGCAGGAGAGGUCAGUGGAAUUCCCAGUGUAGCGGUGAAAUGCGUAGAGAUUGGGAGGAACACCAGUGGCGAAGGCGACUGACUGGACUGCUACUGACGCUGAGGCGCGAAAGUGUGGGGAGCAAACAGGAUUAGAUACCCUGGUAGUCCACACUGUAAACGAUGAAUGCUAGGUGUAGGAGGUAUCGACCCCUUCUGUGCCGCAGUUAACACAAUAAGCAUUCCGCCUGGGGAGUACGGCCGCAAGGUUGUAACUCAAAGGAAUUGACGGGGGCCCGCACAAGCAGCGGAGCAUGUGGUUUAAUUCGACGCAACGCGAAGAACCUUACCAGGUCUUGACAAUCAGACAAAAGCUGUAGAGAUACAGUGUGGCU
This 990-nucleotide ribosomal RNA is filed under the name uncultured bacterium. RNAcentral's name for it is "bacterial SSU rRNA". It matches the Rfam family "Bacterial small subunit ribosomal RNA", at positions 32 to 1018 of the family's 1533-position model. The record is from RNAcentral.